AUUGAACGCUGGCGGCAUGCCUAAUACAUGCAAGUCGAGCGGAUGGAGGGAGCUCUCGCCUGGAUUCAGCGGCGGACGGGUGAGUAAGGCACAGGAAUCUGCCUUGCAUAGGGGGCUAACGUCCCGAAAGGGGCGCGAAUACCGCACCGGUCCAGAGGGUGAAAGUGGGGGUUCUUUAGACCUCACGGGAUUAGAUGAGCCUAGGUCGGGUUAGCUAGUUGGUUGGGUAAAGGCCUACCAAGGCGACGAUCCGUAACUGGUCUGAGAGGAUGAUCAGUCACACUGGAACUGAGACACGGUCCAGACUCCUACGGGAGGCAGCAGUGGGGAAUAUUGGACAAUGGGCGAAAGCCUGAUCCAGCCAUGCCGCGUGUGUGAAGAAGGUCUUCGGAUUGUAAAGCACUUUAAGUUGGGAGGAAGGGCAGUAAGUUUAUACCUUGCUGUUUUGACGUUACCAACAGAAUAAGCACCGGCUAACUUCGUG
RNAcentral lists this ribosomal RNA (484 nucleotides) under uncultured bacterium. RNAcentral describes it as "partial 16S ribosomal RNA". It matches the Rfam family "Bacterial small subunit ribosomal RNA", at positions 30 to 507 of the family's 1533-position model. The record is from RNAcentral.